Planococcus citri (citrus mealybug) is the source of this 3547-nucleotide long non-coding RNA. RefSeq lists it as uncharacterized. NCBI's taxonomy places the organism in Eukaryota, Metazoa, Arthropoda, Insecta, Hemiptera, Pseudococcidae. The record is from RefSeq and is a predicted model, not a curated record. The transcript has 2 exons.
UUGAUUUUUUUGGGGAAAGCCCUUAUGUAUACGUACACUUUGGUUCAAGUUUGAAAAAAAUCGGCCGAGUCAAUCCUGAGAAAAAAAUUAAAAACGAUUUUCGAUUUUUGAGGAAUUACUCAAGAACCACUCAGAGUUGAGGUCCAAAACUUGGGGAAAAUACUUAUCUUGGGGGUACCUAUACACCACAUGAGUUUCAUCUCUGAAGGUCCCGGGGGCCGCUCGACCAUACUUAUCUGCCUAGGGCCUUUUCUAAAUUUCUGAUUUUUUAAAAACCCAACUCAAGUAUUAGGUAACAAAAAAUUAGAAUUUCCAAAAUUGGAAAAAAGCGAAAUCUUUUGGCUUGUGUAAGGUACUUACGUUUUUUGCAAUUUUUAGGAAAAAACUUGGACUUUUGAGUUUUGAGUAAUUAUUGAAAAUGGCAACAAAGCGAGCCAGAAUGUUUGCAAAUUUGAAAUUUCUGACCAAGAAAAAAUUGACAAAAAGCAAGACUGUAACUGUGUAAAUUAAAAAUUCAAUUUUAACACUGGCCGAUUUUUUGGAAUUUUUUCAUUUUUGCAAAAUAAAAAAUUGUUUGGCACCUUUCCUAAAAAAUAACAAUUACAUUCUUUUUUCAAUUUUAGAAAAAGCAAGAAUUUUGACCAUUUUUUAGCAAAAGCAGGAAAGUAGGACCUCUUGUUUAUUUUAUAUGUAAAAAAAAAAGGUAAAAUUGGUGUUGGAAAAUGAUAUUUUGGCAGUUUCUUUCGUUUCAGUGAACUAUCAGCUAGCUAAACUUUAUAAUUUCAUCUGAAAAAAAUGGAAAAGUUCACUAAUGUGACCGUAAAGGCGUAACCUUUGGAAAAUUGAAAUUAAAUAAAAAUAUUAUUGAAGAAUUCUGAAUUCAGAUUUCAGAAUAAUCUUUUUAGUUUAAAAUUUUAAACAUUCAAUUUGUCUGACUCUGAAUUCUGAAAAGUUCACUAGUGUGCCCUUUACCCUUUGAACUUACAAAUUCAAAAUAUUGAAGAAUAUUUCAGAAUUUUGGAAAAUUUCGAAACAAAAAUAAAAAUUAAAAAUUAUUACAAAAUUAAUUUAGUUUUACGAAUGGUUUUACGUCAUUUGUCAUUUUGCAUCUUUUUUGAUGGUGACACUGCUCAGAAAUUUUUUAAUCGACCAAUCAGCAAUCACAAACCGCGCAAUGAAAGAUUUGAAAAGCCUUAUCAGUUCCCUUGAGUUAUCUACUGUACAGUACCUUAUCUACUGGACAGGAAUGCAUGAAUUGAAUGUAAUACAUCAAAUUAUGUACUGCUCCUUAGGUUUCGUUUCAUACAAUUACAUACCUAGUUUAACUGUAAAAUAUGUAUUGAAGGAAAAAUGAACUGAUCUGAUUUAAACAAUAACAGAUUUCACGUUGAAUUACUAAAGCUCGUUUCUACAGUGUUCGGAAAAAAUGGACAUCUCGUACAGUGCUGCGUUGGAAUGGGAUUUCUGCAGUGGAGUGUCUACAUUGCUAGAUAUUACCAUCCGCUCGAUUAUUCAAAAGUCAUGGCGUGAUGCGAUCAUUCAAAGACGUCAAUGUGCAAAAUUGGAUACGUUUUUCGAUAGGAUGUUUGCAAACAUCACGAUUGAUUCAAAGUUUCGAAACAUAAUGAUAUCUUGGAAUGAAACUAAGAUGAAUAAUAGACAGUUCGUGAACUCCACAACAACCUUAACAUCCUUAAAUGAGAAAAUCCGAAUACGAAUGGAGCAGUAUGCUGAUAAACUUACUGAUGAAUUUCUCAAGUGGAAACAUCAUUUUGAUAACAUAAUCCGGGAUGUCAAUGUAGCCUUUCCUGCCUUUCCGAGAUGGUACAGUUUUGACACUUUCUAUUAUUCAGAUGAUUUCAUAUAUGACUCGUAUGGAAGCAUCGACUACACUGAAAUGGCCAAGAAAAUGUUGACGUGCGAUGAAGUAGGAAAAGAAGUGAGAUUCGCUAUCGCUUGUGAAUUUUGUUUCGAGCAUGAAAUCAAAGAGUUAUGGCCUUCAGUAGCAACGAAAUACCUGAUCAACCGUUUAGAUAGAAAAAUAUGGAAUUAUUCGUUGUUAUGGUAUUGGAUUGCUGUAUUAACUAAUCAGCUUCGAAAAGUAUCUCGUUUUGGUAGUAGUCCUCAUGCAAUGUUUAGUAGAUUUGCACACACGAAAUCAGCGCUGGAGUUCUUCUGGAAACGUAUCGCCGCAUUCAAUAACCUGAAUAAGCAAGUCGACCAAGUGCAUUGCAUUGGUAUAUGCUUUCAUGAUUGUGAAUAUCCUGUCGUACCACAAGUAUUGUUGAAAUACUGGCUACCAAGAAUGAGCGAUGAAUUCCUCAAGUCCCUUAUAUCGCUCUAUGGUACGCGUAUGAUGGGGUGCAUGUUGAUAACUUGUCGCGAAUUCGUUUUGCCGUUUUGGCAGCAGACGUGCAACAUGUACAAUAGCGAUCAAUUUGCUAAAUUGUUUGUAGAAUUAGAAUUUAGUGUCAUAGAAGAUACACAUAUCAAAUAUUUAAGUGAACAAAUUUGGAAUAGCGCUCCGAUUGAAUUCAAAAGUCAUGCUUCGAAUUGUAUUGCAGCUAAAAUUGAAACUGAGCGAUUGUCCGAUGAAGGAAAGAAUUCCAGGAUUUCUUUGGGAAUGAUGUAUGCUUUUAAAUUGUGGUAGGUAAACUAUAUCGAUGUACCUACUGACUAAAUACGGUAGUGAUACGAUAUUACAAAUUAGAUUUUUGUACUCCAUAAAAUUAUAACCACCGAUGUAUAUUUUUAAAUUUUAUGUAUUUGGGAAUACAUAUUUUUAAUUAUUUCUUAAACUUUGAUACUUUAAGGAUGGCCGAAUCGUGUCAAUAUUUCUUUCAGAAAAAUAAAAUAUUGUGAUCGAUAUUUUUUCUUGCGUUUCUAUUUCGAUUUCAAAUAUUCGAAAAAAAUUACGUUUGUGCAUAAAAUCACUAUACGAAAAAAUUUGAAACAAAAUCUGUAGAGAAUCAAAACAUCUUUUAUUCCAUUUUUUUCAGCUUCUAAUGCAUAGUGUGUGAUAUACUACUAUGCCGUACGUGGUAUGUAUAGGGCUCGCCCACAUGGUAACACUGCGUUGCACUAAGGCAACACUGCGUUGUAUUCUCGUCAGCUAGCCAUACGAGCCAAGCGACGAGAGUACAGAACGCCAGUAAUGUAUCCGAGUGCACGCGGGUAUGUUAUUCACGGUUAAUGGGUUAAUGCAGUCAUUUAAGUAUAAGUUUUACUCUCGAGUGUUAAGUGUUAGGUUUAGUGCUUUAGUUUUAAUUAGUGUUUAGUAUAUUCAUUUAAUAGACGAGAAGGAGUGAUGAUCUACUCGUCGCCACUCUGGGUAAGUACUUGCACAUAUCAGUGUGAAUAAGUUAGAUCUCCUUGCCAGAGGAGAUCACUUAUCCAAACCUACACCACAGUGUGUAACACCAACGUGUGUAUAUUUAGUUUAAGAAAGUGUCUUGUUAACGUACAUAAAUACAUAGAAUAUGUGAUUAUGUAAAACUUGUAACGUGUUGUUAAUAUUGCACACAUUAAAUAUUAUUCUCGUGUAUAA